AAGUCGAACGGUAACAGGAAGAAGCUUGCUUCUUUGCUGACGAGUGGCGGACGGGUGAGUAAUGUCUGGGAAACUGCCUGAUGGAGGGGGAUAACUACUGGAAACGGUAGCUAAUACCGCAUAACGUCGCAAGACCAAAGAGGGGGACCUUCGGGCCUCUUGCCAUCGGAUGUGCCCAGAUGGGAUUAGCUAGUAGGUGGGGUAACGGCUCACCUAGGCGACGAUCCCUAGCUGGUCUGAGAGGAUGACCAGCCACACUGGAACUGAGACACGGUCCAGACUCCUACGGGAGGCAGCAGUGGGGAAUAUUGCACAAUGGGCGCAAGCCUGAUGCAGCCAUGCCGCGUGUAUGAAGAAGGCCUUCGGGUUGUAAAGUACUUUCAGCGGGGAGGAAGGGAGUAAAGUUAAUACCUUUGCUCAUUGACGUUACCCGCAGAAGAAGCACCGGCUAACUCCGUGCCAGCAGCCGCGGUAAUACGGAGGGUGCAAGCGUUAAUCGGAAUUACUGGGCGUAAAGCGCACGCAGGCGGUUUGUUAAGUCAGAUGUGAAAUCCCCGGGCUCAACCUGGGAACUGCAUCUGAUACUGGCAAGCUUGAGUCUCGUAGAGGGGGGUAGAAUUCCAGGUGUAGCGGUGAAAUGCGUAGAGAUCUGGAGGAAUACCGGUGGCGAAGGCGGCCCCCUGGACGAAGACUGACGCUCAGGUGCGAAAGCGUGGGGAGCAAACAGGAUUAGAUACCCUGGUAGUCCACGCCGUAAACGAUGUCGACUUGGAGGUUGUGCCCUUGAGGCGUGGCUUCCGGAGCUAACGCGUUAAGUCGACCGCCUGGGGAGUACGGCCGCAAGGUUAAAACUCAAAUGAAUUGACGGGGGCCCGCACAAGCGGUGGAGCAUGUGGUUUAAUUCGAUGCAACGCGAAGAACCUUACCUGGUCUUGACAUCCACGGAAGUUUUCAGAGAUGAGAAUGUGCCUUCGGGAACCGUGAGACAGGUGCUGCAUGGCUGUCGUCAGCUCGUGUUGUGAAAUGUUGGGUUAAGUCCCGCAACGAGCGCAACCCUUAUCCUUUGUUGCCAGCGGUCCGGCCGGGAACUCAAAGGAGACUGCCAGUGAUAAA
Molecule: ribosomal RNA, 1113 nt
Filed under: Escherichia coli
Lineage: Bacteria; Pseudomonadati; Pseudomonadota; Gammaproteobacteria; Enterobacterales; Enterobacteriaceae
Description: bacterial SSU rRNA
Rfam family: Bacterial small subunit ribosomal RNA
Source: RNAcentral